Molecule: ribosomal RNA, 1461 nt
Filed under: metagenome
Description: bacterial SSU rRNA
Rfam family: Archaeal small subunit ribosomal RNA
Source: RNAcentral
UCCGAUUGAUCCCGUCGGACCCCACUGCUAUCGAGAUGGGACUAAGGUAUGCUAGUCGAACGACCAGAACUAUGUCUGGAAGUGGCACACUGCUCAGUAACACGUAGCUAACCUACCCUUAGGACGUGGACAACCCCGAGAAAUUGGGGGUAAUCCGCGAUAGGUGUAAUGUCCUGGAAUGGUAUUACGCCUAAAGGUGUAUCAUACAUGUUUGAUAUACGCCUAAGGAUGGGGCUGCGGCCGAUCAGGCUGUUGGUGAGGUAAUGGCUCACCAAACCUUUGACCGGUACGGGCCAUGAGAGUGGUAGCCCGGAGAUGGACACUGAGACAAGGGUCCAGGCCCUAAGGGGCGCAGCAACCGCGAAACCUCCACAAUGCACUCACGUGCGAUGGGGCUAUCUCGAGUGCCACCUGAUGAAGGUGGCUUUUCCUAGGUCUUCAAAGCCUUGGGAAUAAGAGGGGGGCAAGACUGGUGUCAGCCGCCGCGGUAACACCAGCCCCUCGAGUGGUGGGGAUGAUUAUUUGGCCUAAAGCGUCCGUAGCCGGCCGAGCAAGUCUUCCGUUAAAUCCAGCGUCUCAAGCGCUGGACUGCGGGAGAUACUACACGGCUAGAGAGUGGGAGAGGUCAGCGGUAUUCUGGGGGUAGGGGCGAAAUCCUUUGAUCCCCGGAGGACCACCAGUGGCGAAGGCUGCUGACUAGAACACGUCUGACGGUCAGGGACAAAGCUGGGGUAGCGAACCGGAUUAGAUACCCGGGUAGUCCCAGCCGUAAACGAUGCAUGCUAGGUGUUGGGUUGGCCACGAGCCACCCCAGUGCCGCAGGGAAGCCGUUAAGCAUGCCGCCUGGGAAGUACGAUCGCAAGAUUGAAACUUAAAGGAAUUGGCGGGGGAGCACCACCAGGCGUGAAGCCUGCGGUUUAAUUGGAGUCAACGCCGGGAACCUUACCGGGAGCGACAGCAGAAUGAAGGCCAGAUUGAAGAUCUUGCAGACGAGCUGAGAGGAGGUGCAUGGCCGUCGCCAGUUCGUGCCGUGAGGUGUUCUCUUAAGUGAGAUAACGAACGAGACCCGUGCCACAUGUUGCCACCAGUAUCUAAAGGAUAGCUGAGCACUCUUGUGGGACCGCAGCCGAUAAGGCUGAGGAAGGUACGGGCAACGGCAGGUCAGUAUGCCCCGAAUCUCCCGGGCCACACGCGGGCUGCAAUGGUACAGACAGAGGGCUGCCACCCCGAAAGGGGGAGCCAAUCCCUAAACUGUACCUCAGUUGGGAUCGAGGGUUGCAACCCACCCUCGUGAACAUGGAAUGCCUAGUAACCGCCAGUCAUCAUCUGGUGGUGAAUACGUCCCUGCUCCUUGCACACACUGCCCGUCGAACCACCCGAAUGAGGUUUGGGUGAGGAAUGGUCGAAUGUUGGCCGUUUCGAACCUGGGCCUCGUAAGGAGGGUUAAGUCGUAACAAGGUG